GAUGAACGCUGGCGGCGUGCCUAAUACAUGCAAGUCGAGCGAACAGAUGAGGAGCUUGCUCCUCUGACGUUAGCGGCGGACGGGUGAGUAACACGUGGAUAACCUACCUAUAAGACUGGGAUAACUUCGGGAAACCGGAGCUAAUACCGGAUAAUAUAUUGAACCGCAUGGUUCAAUAGUGAAAGACGGUCUUGCUGUCACUUAUAGAUGGAUCCGCGCCGCAUUAGCUAGUUGGUAAGGUAACGGCUUACCAAGGCGACGAUGCAUAGCCGACCUGAGAGGGUGAUCGGCCACACUGGAACUGAGACACGGUCCAGACUCCUACGGGAGGCAGCAGUAGGGAAUCUUCCGCAAUGGGCGAAAGCCUGACGGAGCAACGCCGCGUGAGUGAUGAAGGUCUUCGGAUCGUAAAACUCUGUUAUUAGGGAAGAACAAAUGUGUAAGUAACUAUGCACGUCUUGACGGUACCUAAUCAGAAAGCCACGGCUAACUACGUG
This 497-nucleotide ribosomal RNA is filed under the name uncultured bacterium. Its description in RNAcentral is "partial 16S ribosomal RNA". It matches the Rfam family "Bacterial small subunit ribosomal RNA", at positions 28 to 507 of the family's 1533-position model. The record is from RNAcentral.